CUGAAUCUGGGUCCACAUGAGCAGCCAGUGCUCUUAACUUCUGCGCCAUCUCCCCAGCCCGUCAUUUCUUUUGAGACUAUGUAGCCCAGAAUAGAUAGCAUCGAACUUGAGCUCUUCCUGCCUUAGCCUCCUGGGUUGCUGGGAUUACAGGGAUGCACACAGCUUUAGGAUCCAGAUAAUAUAUUCUAAUAAGUGCAUUAUUACUGGAAGCAGUAGGAGGAGGAACCUGUCUACAUGGGAUUGCAUAAGGUUAACUCGGAAGCAGCGACUGCACUGAGCACCAGACUGGAUUUUCAUAUCAUUGGAACAGGACAGGCUGGCAUCUCCCAGUGUUGAGACUGCAACAAUGCACAGCCAAGUGUCAUGGAUGUUUUCACUUAGCAAUCAGUACUGGGGAUUGAACCGGGAAUCCUAUAUGCGCUAAGCAAAGCACCCUACCGCAGAGCUGCAUUGCAGUAGUGAGUGGGAAGUCGCUAAAGAUGGACCCUUCUUACAAGUCUCAGUUCAGGAAGAGCACAGCAGGGAAGCUACAUGGAAGUAACUUGGAAUCCCCUAUAAGAAAAUACUGGUCAUCAAACAUCUAUUAAACAAGUGCCCCGGACUAUAAAUCCCCACCCCAAGCCAGCUUUGAAAAGGCCAAGUGUGAACAGAAGAGAGAGAGAAUGACUAUGAAGUUGAGAGGGGAUCUGUGAAGAGAUGGACAGCAGGAAAAUUAGGAUUAAAAUAUACUGAAUGAAAUUCUCAAAAAAAAAAUAAAAAUAAAAAAGAGAGUGUGAUAGCUUAUCCCGAGCUUGCCUGAAAUCAGAUGAAAUCACUUAAAAAAAAAAAAAGAUUCAUCUUAUUUUCAGUCAUGCACAUGUGCCCACAGAGGCCAGAGGCCUCUCGGAUCUGAGGUUACAGCCAGUAGUGAGCUACCCGAUGUGGGUGCUGGGACCCCAACUCUGGUCCUCCGUAAGAGCAAUCAAUAUGCACAGUGAGUGGCAGAGCCGUCUCUUCAGACCAUAGCUGAAUAUGCUUUCUUUGGGAAUUCGUUGAUAAUAUUCUGUCUUAGCUAACAGGGUGGGUUCUGCACCUAAGGCCUUCUAAGAUAAUGCAG
RNAcentral lists this long non-coding RNA (1096 nucleotides) under Cricetulus griseus (Chinese hamster). RNAcentral's name for it is "lncRNA (ENSCGRG00015028976.1)". The record is from RNAcentral. Lineage: Eukaryota; Metazoa; Chordata; Mammalia; Rodentia; Cricetidae.